GCAGCGACAGGCUGGAACAGGGAGGAGGGCGGGGAAGGGCUUGAAGCGAGAGCACUGGCUGCGAGGACACAGUUCAGAAUCGCAUUUGAUAAAACCUGGGACAGACUGGAAUGGAAGAGACCAUUUAUGCUCUUAUUAUAGAGAUGAGAAAAAGGAGGCUGGUCCUGGCAGGAAGCAGAUGGCACCUCAGAUUGGGUAAAUUGAGAAGAGUUUAAUAAAGAGACUAUUUACAAAGGCAUAUCGGGGUGUAGGGAAACCACAGGCCAGAAGGAGCAGAAGGAGGAAGCAAUUACUGGAAAUUUGAGAGAGAAAAUUCUACGAGCAGGGCCUCUUGACAGGAGCUGUGACUUUCGGUGUGGAGAUGCAGCCAGCUAGCCCUGAAGGAGGCCCUUGGAGAAAAGAAAUACCCUGAGCUCCCUCCCCACAGCCUUCCCUCGCCUGCUGGAAACCGACACCAAGAAGAGGUAGAAGAUUUUGGCGGAGCUCACUGAGGCCGGCUGCUGGGGGCACAGCCCGGCUAGGGAAGGGUGGAGGGAGUCUGGAGGGGCAAAAAGGAGCCACAGGGCACACCGUCUGAGUUUGGAAGUAAUCUGUGGUGGUCCUUGCCCAGGGUUGCCACUAUCGACACUCCUAUGGGUGGGGGUGAAAGGGGGGCAUGUUAUCUCCUGGCUGGUGAAGCCGAAAUAUGAUCGAGUAGUUCCUCUAGAAAUGCCUCGCCAAUCAAAAGUAUUCCAGAUCUUUCUUGCCUUGAACAAAAAAUUCGACGAGACAAGCCAAAGACGGUGCCAAAAGUUUAUUUGAAAAGUGAGGAGUGAAGAGGUAUGGGAGAAACCAGCUCCGUAGUGCAAACUUCGGCUGAACAAAAAGAAAGAGAGGGCAAAAGCAAAAAUAAAAGUGCACUCUGCGGCUAGGAGAAGCGGGGUGGGCUGCAGGGAGGUGAGCAGGCUCCUCAAGGCGGCCGGUCCCUUUCCUGCCAUCCACACCUGGUGGGAGCCCACGAGAAGUUCCACAUACGGGGCCCCGGGAGUUACUUGAUGCUGUCCUGGGAUCUUGUAAUUGACAGGUCUGGCUUAUUUUUUCAGCCAGCUUUGCCAUGCAUUUCUAGCAGGAUGUGGGAUAGCCCUCCUUUUCCUCUUCUGUCCGUAUUUGAGCUCUCGAGUUUUCUCUCUGUUCCCCCCAUAGGGUCCAUAAAGCGCAGUGCUGUCCGUGAAAGAGGAGGGUUGCUCUGGGCCCCAGCCUUCAAGCAGAGGCCUAGAUUCCUACACGCACCCUGCCAGCCCUGUUUGUCUCCCCCUGCCAUGUCCUGAACGGCAAGUGGGUCACCAAACAUCCCUGCCAGGGCCGCUCCACAGAGCCACACACCCUGACCUUGUUCCUUCAGGUCCCCCAUGGCUGCCCAGGGUCAGAAUGGAAGGACUUCACCUCAGCUAUGGGCCAACCUGGGGUCCCAUUUGUGCCCACUCCGCCCCAAGCUCCAGCUGGCCUCAGCUCCCUCUCCUGCUGGCGAGCUCGGUUCCUCUUUAUUCCUGGCCUGCCCUGUGGGAUUUACUGCAGCAGAAUGCUUCUCCUUCUCACAUAAAAUUUAACCCCCUUACUAUGUAACAAACCAGGAUGGUAAUUUAUGAUCAGAAAUCUAAGAGCACUGGCUUCUUGGAGUUGCUUCACUGGAACUUUCUCUCCAUGUAAGACACAGGGAGUUUAGAAGAGGAUGGAGGAAAGCUGGGGUGAAUGAGAGCCUUUCUUUUUACUCUACACUCAUUUUUACUGAUAUGCUUAGUUUUUACGCCAAUUUAUGAAUGUAAAAUUAUUUAAUACUACUAAAAAAAGAAUCGGAGCUAAUUGUAACCAGUGACUUUGAGUGGCAUGGAUGACAGCAGCACAGUGCAAAUUGCAAAUACAUAUUCCCGAAAAUGACAAUGACAGAUAGGGCAAAGCCACUGGGGAUAGAUUCUAUACUUCUGCCAAGGCAGCCCCGCCUUGAAUGGAAGUGGGACCACAUACACUUCCCCGGUUAUAUUAGGAGCUGGGUGGAAAGCGCGGUAACUUUUGCGGUGGCUGGAUUCCCUACCUGGCCUCUGUGUCAUCACCAUACCUGCUGGGAGAUCCCUCUGUCACACUGGAGCUUCCCUGGGCUCCAUUUCAUAAUCACUCUAAUGGACUGACAUCAGCAAACUGUGAUUUAUUCUUUCGGUUCGUUUAAAUAUUUGUUAAGAAUGAGGCCACAUCUAUGUCAGACUCUGAAGUCUGUAUCUGCCACUCUUCUACCUUCCUUUACUCCUCACCUACUGGCAGGGCCGGGGAGGAGGGAGAAGCCUGAGCAAGUGCAGGCCUAUGCCGAUGGCUUCAGAAGAAACACUUCUUUCUCUCCUCUCCAGUCAUAUGCUGAAGCUCUGGCUACUGGCCCCCAAGGUGAGCAUAAAUAAGAGGCUCUCAAUAAGAGCUGGGAGAAGCUUGAACCCAACUGGCUUCAUGAGCUGAGGGAGAUAUUAAGGUACAAAAGGGAUUUAACUGUUAACUAGGGAUCCCUAUAGAUUUGUGUGAAGAACAACUCCAUGAUAAUUGCCAGUAAAGCUUUUCAAAACAAGACCAGUAACACUCCACUAGUAUCUUGCCCUAAUGGAUAUUAAAAUUCAUGAUAACGCUAGUGUAGUCAAAAGGAUAGAGUAUUGGCACAUGAACAGACAGACCAGUGGAAUAGAAUAGAAAGAAAUUGAUUUUAUGGGAAUUUAAUAUAGUAUGUAAUAAAGGUGGCAUUUCAAUUCACUGAUGGCUUAUUUGAUAAAUCACCAAACAAUAAUGGCCUAUUACAUGAAAAAUACAAAGAUAGAUUAUUUGGUUAAUUACAGAUGGAUUAAAGAUGCAAAGGCAAAGUAAACAUUCUGGAAUUUAGGAAAAUAUUUACAUGAUAUUCAGGGAGGAAAGCCUUCUCAAAUCACACAAGCUAGAAGGUACAAAGACAUGAUAAAAAGUCAAAGGAGAAUGAAUAGGUUGUGAGAAAAUAGUUGCAACCAAGGGAGAUAAAGGAUUAGUAUCCAUAAUACUAGAAUGAAUAUGAGUAUCUAUAGUAUCAGGUUGCCGAUAAUCAACCGCUUUGAACCGCCAAACGGCAAAGUUGACAUUUCAACCCAAUACACAGUGCUUCAAAAUGUUGGUUUUAAAAGAGACGAAUAGGGCUGGGGAUAUAGUUCAGUGGCACAAACGCCUGCUUGGCAAGUGCAAGGUCCUGAGUUCGAUUCCCGGUACCAAAAAAAUAAAUAAAUAAAUAGAUAGAUAAGACAAACAAUCUAAUAGAAAAAAGUGAAGUCUAUAAAUUAUAAACAGACAAUUUAUAGAAAAGAUGUCAGUAGCUAAUCUAUAAAUAUAUGAUUACAAAUAUCUGAAUAUAUGUUAAAAUAAUAGCAGGAGGCUUCUAUCAAUAAAACAGAAAAUAACGAGGGCUAGAAAGAUGUACAGAAACUGUGCAAUGUUAGUGGGAAUGUAAAAUGGUGCCCCUGCCACAGAAAAUAGUAUAGAGGGUCUUCAAAAAAUUAAAAGUAGAAUGAGGUAUGGUCUAGCAGUUCCACUUCUGGAUAUGUACACAAAAUAAUUCAAAUCAGGGUCUCCAGAGAUAUUCAUACACCCCUGUUCAUGGCAGCCUUAUCCACGACAGCCAAAAGGUGGGAACCACUCAAGUGUCCAUUGACAGAACAAAAUGUGAUAGUUUCACACAAUGGAAUAUUAUUCAGCCUCACAAGGAAGUCAGUUUGGACAUAUUCUAAAACAUAGACUAGGGCCGGGGAUAUAGCUCAGUGGCACAAGCGCCUGCCUGGCAAGCACAAGGUCCUGAGUUUGAUUCCUGGUACCAAAUAAAUAAAUAAAUAAAUAAAACAUAGACUAAUAUUGAUGACGUUGUGCUAAGCGAAACCAGCCAAACACAAGAGGAAAUACUGUAUGAGUCCACUUCUCUGAGAUACCUAGAGUAGUCAGAUCCAUGGAGACAGGAAGCAGAAUGGCAGUUGCCAGGGGCACGGGGAGGGUGGGAUGGACAAUUAAUGUGUAAUGGGUGCAGAGUUUCAGUUUUGCAAGGUGAAAAGAAUUCUGGAAACUGGCUACCCAGCAACAUGAAUAUUGUUGACGCUGCUGAAUUGUAUGCUUAAUGGUUAAGAUGGCAAAGUAUGUUUUGUAUAUUUGACAAGAUAACAUUUUUCACUCAUCAGGCAAAAUGUAAAACUAAUUUUGACACCGAUGUGGGGAAAUGUAUACUUGCUUUCAUGAAUGGUUGGAGAGAGAAUUGUGAUAGUGUUUUAAGCAAAUAACUUGGUGAAAUCUAUUAAAAUAAAAAAUGCAUAUACUUUUUGAAACAGUAGUCCUAUAUUUGGAACUCUAGUCUACAGAAACACAUAUACCGAUAUACAAGUAUAUGUAUAUAGUGCAUUUUUAUAUUGGUCAUAGUUAGAAAUAAUUGAUCCUAAAAGUGCAGAUGGUGGAAUAUUGAACAACUAUUUUAAAGAACAAGUAAUAUUUACAAGGAUUGACCUGAAGAAAUGAGUAUGAGAUAUUAUUUUAUUAACUACAUGACAUAUUAUUGUAAGAAAGUAAGCAAGUUUCACGGGAAAUCAUGUGGUAUGUGUAAAAAGCAAAUAAA
Molecule: long non-coding RNA, 4624 nt
Organism: Chinchilla lanigera (long-tailed chinchilla)
Lineage: Eukaryota; Metazoa; Chordata; Mammalia; Rodentia; Chinchillidae
Exons: 3
Source: RefSeq, a predicted model, not a curated record